UACGGGGGGGGCAAGCGUUGUUCGGAAUUACUGGGCGUAAAGGGCUUGUAGGCGGCCAACUAAGUCCGACGUGAAAUCCCCAGGCUUAACCUGGGAACUGCGUCGGAUACUGGAUGGCUUGAAUUCGGGAGAGGGAUGCAGAAUUCCAGGUGUAGCGGUGAAAUGCGUAGAUAUCUGGAGGAACACCGGUGGCGAAGGCGACAUCCUGGACCGGUAUUGACGCUGAGGCGCGAAAGCCAGGGGAGCAAACGGG
This 253-nucleotide ribosomal RNA is filed under the name uncultured bacterium. RNAcentral's name for it is "partial 16S ribosomal RNA". It matches the Rfam family "Bacterial small subunit ribosomal RNA", at positions 524 to 776 of the family's 1533-position model. The record is from RNAcentral.